This 374-nucleotide unclassified non-coding RNA is filed under the name soil metagenome. RNAcentral describes it as "partial contains internal transcribed spacer 2 and large subunit ribosomal RNA". The stretch from base 1 to 120 matches the Rfam family "5.8S ribosomal RNA", at positions 35 to 154 of the family's 154-position model. The record is from RNAcentral.
GAUGAAGAACGUAGCGAAAUGCGAUAAUUAAUGUGAAUUGCAGAAUUCCGUGAAUCAUCGAGUCUUUGAACGCACAUUGCGCCUCAUGGCAUUCCGUGAGGCAUGCCCAUCUCAGCGUUAGAAAAUAUUCUCAAAUUUUAGUUUUGUGCUAAAAUUUGGAUCAUGUCAAGGAAGCUAUUACUAUUAUUGUGAUCGCUCUUUGGAAAUUGAUAGGUCUUUGAGUUGCUACUCAUAGAACGUGAUGAAUCUUUCUUCGUUCUAUUGUAAUUCACUCUGGUAGUCCUAAAACUUGUAUGCCUGUGGCAUAUCUUGUAAUUUGACCUGAGAUUGGGUAGGGAUACCCGCUGAACUUAAGCAUAUCAAUAAGCGGAGGG